This 22-nucleotide microRNA is filed under the name Sarcophilus harrisii (Tasmanian devil). RNAcentral's name for it is "Sha-Mir-8-P3a_3p (mature (guide))". RNAcentral also lists the same sequence under 2 other names. Lineage: Eukaryota; Metazoa; Chordata; Mammalia; Dasyuromorphia; Dasyuridae. The record is from RNAcentral.
UAAUACUGUCUGGUAAUGCCAU